Molecule: ribosomal RNA, 464 nt
Filed under: uncultured bacterium
Lineage: Bacteria
Description: partial 16S ribosomal RNA
Rfam family: Bacterial small subunit ribosomal RNA
Source: RNAcentral
GACGAACGCUGGCGGCGUGCUUAACACAUGCAAGUCGAACGGUAAGGCCCCUUCGGGGGUACACGAGUGGCGAACGGGUGAGUAACACGUGGGUGAUCUGCCCUGCACUUCGGGAUAAGCCUGGGAAACUGGGUCGAAUACCGGAUAGGACCACGCUCUGCAUGGAGUGUGGUGGAAAGCUUUUGCGGUGUGGGAUGGGCCCGCGGCCUAUCAGCUUGUUGGUGGGGUGAUGGCCUACCAAGGCGACGACGGGUAGCCGGCCUGAGAGGGUGUCCGGCCACACUGGGACUGAGAUACGGCCCAGACUCCUACGGGAGGCAGCAGUGGGGAAUAUUGCACGAUGGGCGCAAGCCUGAUGCAGCGACGCCGCGUGGUGGAUGACGGCCUUCGGGUUGUAAACCUCUUUCAGUACCGACGAAGCGCAAGUGACGGUAGGUUCAGAAGAAGCACCGGCCAACUACGUG